This 1222-nucleotide ribosomal RNA is filed under the name Escherichia coli. RNAcentral's name for it is "partial 23S ribosomal RNA". It matches the Rfam family "Bacterial large subunit ribosomal RNA", at positions 1474 to 2674 of the family's 2925-position model. The record is from RNAcentral. Lineage: Bacteria; Pseudomonadati; Pseudomonadota; Gammaproteobacteria; Enterobacterales; Enterobacteriaceae.
GGAGAAGGCUAUGUUGGCCGGGCGACGGUUGUCCCGGUUUAAGCGUGUAGGCUGGUUUUCCAGGCAAAUCCGGAAAACCAAGGCUGAGGCGUGAUGACGAGGCACUACGGUGCUGAAGCGACAAAUGCCCUGCUUCCAGGAAAAGCCUCUAAGCAUCAGGUAACAUCAAAUCGUACCCCAAACCGACACAGGUGGUCAGGUAGAGAAUACCAAGGCGCUUGAGAGAACUCGGGUGAAGGAACUAGGCAAAAUGGUGCCGUAACUUCGGGAGAAGGCACGCUGAUAUGUAGGUGAAGCGACUUGCUCGUGGAGCUGAAAUCAGUCGAAGAUACCAGCUGGCUGCAACUGUUUAUUAAAAACACAGCACUGUGCAAACACGAAAGUGGACGUAUACGGUGUGACGCCUGCCCGGUGCCGGAAGGUUAAUUGAUGGGGUUAGCGGUAACGCGAAGCUCUUGAUCGAAGCCCCGGUAAACGGCGGCCGUAACUAUAACGGUCCUAAGGUAGCGAAAUUCCUUGUCGGGUAAGUUCCGACCUGCACGAAUGGCGUAAUGAUGGCCAGGCUGUCUCCACCCGAGACUCAGUGAAAUUGAACUCGCUGUGAAGAUGCAGUGUACCCGCGGCAAGACGGAAAGACCCCGUGAACCUUUACUAUAGCUUGACACUGAACAUUGAGCCUUGAUGUGUAGGAUAGGUGGGAGGCUUUGAAGUGUGGACGCCAGUCUGCAUGGAGCCGACCUUGAAAUACCACCCUUUAAUGUUUGAUGUUCUAACGUUGGCCCGUAAUCCGGGUUGCGGACAGUGUCUGGUGGGUAGUUUGACUGGGGCGGUCUCCUCCUAAAGAGUAACGGAGGAGCACGAAGGUUGGCUAAUCCUGGUCGGACAUCAGGAGGUUAGUGCAAUGGCAUAAGCCAGCUUGACUGCGAGCGUGACGGCGCGAGCAGGUGCGAAAGCAGGUCAUAGUGAUCCGGUGGUUCUGAAUGGAAGGGCCAUCGCUCAACGGAUAAAAGGUACUCCGGGGAUAACAGGCUGAUACCGCCCAAGAGUUCAUAUCGACGGCGGUGUUUGGCACCUCGAUGUCGGCUCAUCACAUCCUGGGGCUGAAGUAGGUCCCAAGGGUAUGGCUGUUCGCCAUUUAAAGUGGUACGCGAGCUGGGUUUAGAACGUCGUGAGACAGUUCGGUCCCUAUCUGCCGUGGGCGCUGGAGAACUGAGGGGGGCUG